RNAcentral lists this ribosomal RNA (492 nucleotides) under Triops granarius. RNAcentral describes it as "partial 16S ribosomal RNA". It matches the Rfam family "Bacterial large subunit ribosomal RNA", at positions 1857 to 2608 of the family's 2925-position model. The record is from RNAcentral. Lineage: Eukaryota; Metazoa; Arthropoda; Branchiopoda; Notostraca; Triopsidae.
GCCUGCUCUAUGAAUAUUUUUUAAAUGGCCGCGGUAUUUUGACCGUGCGAAGGUAGCAUAAUCAUUAGUCUUUUAAUUGGAGGCUGGUAUGAAUGGCUGGACGAGAAAAUUUCUGUCUCUGUUAUAAAAUUUGAAUUUUAUUUUUAAGUGAAAAAGCUUAAAUUUUUUUGAGGGACGAUAAGACCCUUUGGAUCUUUAUAAUAACGAGUAAUAAAAAGGUUAGGUGUGACAGCUUAUCGCUUUAAAUUAUUGGGUUGGGGCGACUGGAAGAAAAAAAUAUCUCUUCUUAAAUAAUAUACUUAUUAGUAGAAUUAGGAUGACCCUGAAUUUUGGUUUAAAAGACUAAGUUACCCUAGGGAUAACAGCGUAAUCUUUUUGGAGAGUUCAUAUCGAUGAAAAGGUUUGCGACCUCGAUGUUGGAUUAAGAUAUCCUUAUGGCGCAGCCGUUAUAAAGGAGAGUCUGUUCGACUCUUAAAUUCUUACGUGAUCUGA